CGAGCACAUUAUACUCAUUUGCAAAUAAACCAAAUCGAAAUAUACGAGAUUUUGUUUGAUUAAAAAGCACCCAGAAAACACACCUCUUCUACUGGUAGUUAUGAAAAUUUUAAAGGUCGCGACAAAAUGACAGGGUGUGGUGCAGAGUCGUACAGCCAUCGUGUCACGGGCCACUCCUUUGCGUCGCAGUGUUAGCGGGUAUACCUGCCUAUAAAAAGGUGGCGACACAAUGAAUACGAAAAUACAAUUCUAUAUAAAAUUAUGAAUUAUGAGUAUUGUAUUUUAUUCUAAACAAUAAUAUUAAUAUUCGUUAAGACACGACACGGAGCUGGGUGAUCGAAAUGUUAAAGAUAAUUUCAACGACAAACAAAUAAUUUAUA
Cinara cedri is the source of this 380-nucleotide non-coding RNA. The record is from the annotation of a GenBank genome assembly. Lineage: Eukaryota; Metazoa; Arthropoda; Insecta; Hemiptera; Aphididae.